GCCCCUAUAGCUCAGUGGUAGAGCACCGGCUUAGUAAGCGGAAGGUCGGUAGUUCAAUCCUGCCUGGGGGCA
The sequence is a transfer RNA, 72 nucleotides long. It matches the Rfam family "tRNA". From Rfam's summary of the family: Transfer RNA (tRNA) molecules are approximately 80 nucleotides in length. Their secondary structure includes four short double-helical elements and three loops (D, anti-codon, and T loops).